Molecule: long non-coding RNA, 9339 nt
Filed under: Daucus carota (carrot)
Lineage: Eukaryota; Viridiplantae; Streptophyta; Magnoliopsida; Apiales; Apiaceae
Description: long non-coding RNA (DCAR_LNC005769)
Source: RNAcentral
GAAUACACAGGGCAGCAUUCAAAGCUGGUUGAUUCUUUUAUCUCAGCACUGCGAUACCGUUUGCUUACAGCAGGUGCCUCUACAAAUGAUAUCCUGCACCAAUAUGUUUCAACUAUUAAAGCACUUCGGACAAUAGACCCAGCUGGUGUAUUCCUUGAAGCAGUUGGUGAACCAAUAAGAGAGUAUCUGAGAGGGAGGAAGGAUACCAUUAAAUGCAUUGUUACAAUGCUUACUGAUGGAACUAGUGGGCCUGGAAGUGUUGGAGAUAGCCUUCUUGAAGAAAUAAACAGAGAUGAAGAAAACCAAGAUAGUGCUGGUCUAGAUGAUGAAAUAAGCACUGACGACAAACAAGCAUGGAUAGAUGCUGAACGGUAUGUGUGCUGUUAUUUGUGAUUACACGAUUUUCAGACUUCAUGAUUAAACUUGUUACUUAACUUCAGACUCUAGCAAGUAUUGUAAUUAAAUACUCCAUUCAGGUGGGAACCUGAUCCUGUAGAGGCUGAUCCAUUGAAGAGCAGCAGGUGUAGAAGAAAAAUUGAUAUACUUGGGAUGAUUGUUAGCAUUAUCGGUUCAAAGGAUCAGCUAGUUAACGAGUACCGUGUCAUGCUUGCAGAAAAGCUUCUUAAUAAAACUGAUUAUGACAUUGACUCUGAAAUACGUACUUUGGAACUCCUCAAGGUCAGGGAUCUUGAAUUAAAUUGGGAAAUUGAAUUCUUGUUGGUUGUGGUUUAUUUUUACUUGUGCUCUUCAUCCUGUUAUCUGAAGUUCAGCAGGUUUCAGUAUUGUAUUCUAAUGUUUAGCUCUGGUGUCUUGGUUCCAGAUACAUUUUGGAGAAAGCAGUAUGCAGAAGUGUGAAAUAAUGCUUAAUGACUUGAUUGAUUCUAAAAGAACAAACACAAAUGUAAAAACAACGAUAAAACAGAAAGUGCAAUCAGGUAACCUCCAAAAUUAGUCUUUACAUAAUUAGAUUGUUAAUAUGAAAAGAAAUUGUUUUUCUGAUCAUUGAUAUCGUUCAUAAAUUUUGUUGGUAAAUUCAUAUAAAACGUAUAGCAUUUUUUGUUUUGUUUAUGACAGGUGUCGACCAUAAAGAGAAUGAAAUACCAAUGGAUGUGUUUGAUGCCACAAUCAUAUCUUCGAAUUUUUGGCCACCUAUUCAGGUAUGAUGAUGAGUUUGCAUUUUGACAAAUCUCAAAAACCUUUGAUACCUCAAUCUAACAGUAACAUAUAGUUCUUAAUAUUGUUAUUGUGCUGUGCCUAUGUUUAGGUUUAAAUUUUUAGCCACAUAUUAUUGUGCAUUCUGAAUAUUGUUCACAUCUGUGCUGAAGAUUAUAUCAUUUUUACUCUACCUUCUGUAUGUGGUCAACAGUAUAAGUCUGGUGUGCACCUCACAAGGUAUAUUUUAGGUUAGCCCAGUGCUUAAAAGGUACAAACUCACACAAGUGCAAGAGGUGAUUCUAAGGGGGUACUUGUAAAGUGCAAUUUAACAUACCUUAUAUGCUUAAAAACUUUAAAAAUGAAAGAGUCGAUUCUUAUAUGCUACUUGCAAAGUGCGAAUGAAAGCAGACUUUUAUGCCAAAUUAGAAAUAGUGGAAAGGGUUCUGAUAUAUAUACUCCUAGAUAAAUUGUUGCUACUUCAAAUAGUUAACCAUAUAAUGCAUUGCUCAUAGACUUAUUUUGAAUAGAAAUAUGUCACUAGACAUCAGUCGACGAAAUUCAACAACUUAGCACCUUAAAAUCAUUUAGCAAAAUUUUGUCCCUCACAUUAUUUCUCUUCUUCAUCAUCUUUGUUGGGUAUCAACCCAAUAGGAAUAGGAUUCUGAUUUGAGUUAGAAAUUAGAAUUGGAUUAGGAUUAUGAUUAGGUAUAUUAGAGUUAGAUUCUGAUUUGUCUAAGUUUGAUGGCUAUAUAUACAUAGUCAUAUUGUUUGAUAGGUAUGCUUGAGUAUUGGUAGGCUUGAGUAUCCUAGCUUGGUGGAUUGUAUUAUUGAUAACGGUUUUGAUUAAUAAUACAAGUUGGGACGUGGAUUUUCUGCGUCAUAUAAUUUUGUGUGUGUGCUUUGUAUUAGAAGAUUGAUCUCGUAUAUUAUUCCUAACAAGUGGUAUCAAGAGCUCAGGUUCAUGAUGGAUAAGAUGGGAGGAAAAUUCGAGAUUGAAUUGUUUGAUGGCAGAAACAAUUUUACUUUAUGGCAGAGCACAGUGAAAGAUUUGUUAAUUCAACGAGGAUUAUAUGCAACUCUCGAGGAUAAGAAGCCCGCUGAUGUGGAUAAUACAAAGUGGGAAGAUAUGAAAUUGCGUGCUGCGUCGACUAUCCGGUUGGCUCUUGCACCGGAAAUCAAGUAUGAUGUUCUUGAGGAGAAUAACCCUAAAAAUUUGUGGGAGAAGUUGACAAAGACAUAUCACUCAAAGUCUUUGGCCAACAAGUUGUUUCUCAAGAAAGAUUUGUUCGGACUUAAGAUGGAAGAAAACGGAGAUUUGAGAGAUCAUCUAAAUCGUUUUAAUGGGUUGAUCAACCAGCUGAAUAAUUUGGAUGAAAAAUUAAAGGAUGAGGACAAAGCCAUUCUUUUACUUGUUUCCCUACCAUAUAAGUAUAAUAAUGUGAUUACUUCUUUAAUGGUUGGAAAAACGAAGUUAACUUUGGAUGAGACUACUGUUGUUAUUCUUGAAGCUGAAAGAUUGAUGAAGCAAGGAUCGGGUGAUACAUCGGACGGAAGUGCACUUAUGAUGGAUGCAUAUAACAAGAAAAAGAAGUUUGAUAAGAAACAUAACCCUAAUAUCAAGUGCUUUUAUUGUGAAGAAUUGGGCCACCAUCAAUUCAUAUGUCCAAAAGCAAGAGAAGACUUAAAGGAGUUAAAGAAAAUUCGAGAGAAGGGUAGUGCUUCGCUUGUUGAGACGGUUGAUGAUGCUCUUUUGGUUCAAGAAGACAAGGGAUCAAAAGAAGAAUGGGUACUUGACUCGGGAUGUUCUCAUCACAUAUGUGCUAGGAGGGAGUGGUUCUCGUCCUAUAAGGAUUGUGAGGGAAAGAUGAUAGCUUUACCAAAUGGUAAAACGAUAAAAGUUACCGGCGUUGGUGAGAUAACAAUGAAACUUCAUAAUGGUCGUAUUCGAAAAUUAGCUCAAGUAAGGUAUGUACCGGAGCUAAAUCGAAAUCUAAUUUCAUUGGGUAAAUUAGUUGAUUUGGGAUGUACUGUCAUGAUGAAGAACGGUUGUUUGGAGGUCACCAAACAAGAAUUGGUGAUACUCAAAGGUUGGAAGGAUAAGAGAAAUCUUUUUAUGCUAGAUGGAGAGGUUGUUACUCAAGGGGAGGCUUUGGCGGAUGGACGUCAACGUCUUCAUGGUGAUCGUUAAAAAAAAAAAAAAAAUUUUGAAACCGUAUUGGGUUGAAGGGGAGGAUUGUUGGGUAUCAACCCAAUAGGAAUAGGAUUCUGAUUUGAGUUAGAAAUUAGAAUUGGAUUAGGAUUAUGAUUAGGUAUAUUAGAGUUAGAUUCUGAUUUGUCUAAGUUUGAUGGCUAUAUAUACAUAGUCAUAUUGUUUGAUAGGUAUGCUUGAGUAUUGGUAGGCUUGAGUAUCCUAGCUUGGUGGAUUGUAUUAUUGAUAACGGUUUUGAUUAAUAAUACAAGUUGGGACGUGGAUUUUCUGCGUCAUAUAAUUUUGUGUGUGUGCUUUGUAUUAGAAGAUUGAUCUCGUAUAUUAUUCCUAACAAUCUUUGUCUUCGAGAGUUGAAUAAAAAGCUGUUCCAGUUGUCUUCGAGGUGUUGGAAAUUUAGUUUCUGUUUUUCGUUUUUGGUAUUUUCUAAUUAGGUGCAGUUUAGUCUUUAAGAAUAAUUGCGAGUUCCACAAUUGGUUUCGACUCUCAAAUAAUUAUCAAUUCAAACUAGCAAAUAUUUUGCUACUUUUCGACUCGCAAAUUUUGCGUCUACUUUGCAAAAUAAAAUAAAAUAAUAAUAAUUUGAGUCUACUUCUGAAAGGCAAUUAAGUAUGAGAUCUCCCUUUUCACAAUGAUGCGUUGUUCUAUGGUUUUGAUCAACAAAUAUUGUGGUGAAAUUGCAGGAGGAGGCCCUUAACAUACCUGAGGCAGUGGAGAAGCUUCUAAACGUUUAUGCUACACGGUUUAACGAGAUUAAGACCCCUCGUAAGCUACUUUGGAAGAAAAAUCUUGGUACUGUCAAGGUUAGAUGCUAUUCUAUUUCUAUAGAUGACUGCCACUACUUGGAGUUGAGAGUGUGUAGGCUGAAUUAAAUUGCAUUGUUAAAAAUUACAGUUGGAAUUGCAAUUUGAAGACAGAGAGAUUCAGUUCACAGUCACCCCUAUACAGGCUUCAAUUAUUAUGAAAUUUCAAGAACAGACAAGGUUUGCUUAUCAUAGUACCAUAGUACUGUAUUCAGAAAUCUUAUUUUUGGCUUAUUGUGAGAGCUUUACAUGAUAAUCAUAAUAUGAGUUUCAUCUUCAGUUGGACCUCAAAGGAUCUUGCAGCUGCUAUUGGGGUGCCAGUUGAUGUACUUAGUAGGAGAAUUAGCUUUUGGAUAAGCAAGGUUAGUUCUACUGUACCGAUUAAUGCACUUUUCUUCAUUUUUCUCAGUGUUAGUUGGCACUAUAUAUAUGCCUUCUGUAUUUGGAAGUGUCGUAUGUUGAUAUGGAUUCUGGUCAUUUUCCAGGGCAGAUUUCCAUUUAUUGAUAUUUUAAGUAACAUAUUUUUGCAUUUGUAAAUUGAAGCAGUUAUUUUAUCUUAGUUUUGGCUGUUCCAUGACAUCAGAAGGUGCAAAUAUAUAUAUAUUAAGUCAUUAUUUCCUUACAAAAGGACAAAAAUGUCCUGUGUCGUUCAAUAUUGACAUAAUAGUUAUCAAAUCUAGAAUAAAAUCCUAAUAUGAACUUUGUUAUGUCUGUCAAUUAGGGAAUUCUGGCAGAGUCCUUUGAAAAUGAUUCUAGUGAACAUGUAUUCACCCUGGUAGAUGAAAUGAUUGAUAGUGGCAAGACUGUUAUCAGUAGUGGAAAUUGCGAGGAUCUGGCUGCAGAUGAGGAUGGAGAUAGGUCUGUGGCGACAGUUGAGGAUCAAUUACGUAAAGAAAUGACGGUGUACGAGGUAUGUCAUGCAUGCACUUAUUAAUUACUACUUUAAUACCAGGAGCAUUCAAAAUUGAAAAUUUGACAUUGCAAUAUUAUUUGCAGCUUAUGUAAAGUAUAGUAGUACUAGUAAUGGUAUAUUUAUCUAGAGGAAAGUAUUAAGAUGUUGAACUUUAACACCAGAAGGCUUCGUAAAGCAUUCAUUUUUAGCUUUUUCACAAUAUUUUGUUAUCCAACUCUUUCAGCUACAAUUCUGACUGAAUUUGGUUUUGGACUUCAGAAAUUUAUUACAGGGAUGCUGACCAAUUUUGGAAGCAUGGCAUUGGAUCGAAUCCACAAUACUCUCAAGGUAAACAACUUCUAACUUAAUGCUCAGAUGAAUACUGGUUUAGGUAGGUAUCACCCAAGUACUAGUACUAAUACAAAUAAGUCAUAUUAUUUGUGCAGAUGUUUUGCACAGCUGAUCCCACUUAUGACAAAUCACUCCAGCAACUUCAAAGCUUUCUAUCUGGUCUUGUUGCAGAAGAGAAGUUAGAAAUAAGAGAUGGAAUGUACCUUUUGAAGAAGUAGGUGAUGAUGGAAUUGCAAUUUAUAUAAAUUUUCCAUCAUAAAAUCAGGUGAAUUACAAUUGCACAACUACUUUAUAAGCUUGCAUAUCUCCUUGCUGAAAUGCAGGAUAUCCAGGUGUAAAUGGGUAUAAUUACCAGUUAGUGUUUCUAUAAAACUAAAAAUUUUGGUUUUGUACUGGAAAGUGUUUACAUUUCUACAUUGGAUUACAGACCUUCAAGGAAGCAACUACGUAUACCGAGGGGUUCUGUAAUGGAACUAAUUAUGUGUUUAACAACAUUGAAACAGGUUGCAUGAUCCAACGGUACUGGUACAAUGAAAUGAUAAAACUUAAGUGUUACAAAAGAAUAGAAUAAAGCAUGUCCUGAUAUUGAUGGUACAAGUAGCAAUUUGGUUGUGUGUGACAAAGUAAUGAAAACAUCUGUUUUUUGUGGAGUUUCAGCUACAAUAAACCUGGAAGUGUUUCAUAUCAUUUCAAAUGAUAUAUCGAAACUUGGUUAACUUCACCAUUAACAGUAAUAUUGUAGUGUAAAAUUAGAGCAGACUACUCCAUAAUCAAGAGCUCAAAAUGCAGGGCACUCCAUGAAAUCCGAGCAUGUAACACCACAUAAAUGCAGGGGAGGGGCGAAAUUAUCACGGUCCUUGUGCAAAACUACGAACUAGGGGUUAAAUUUUUUCCAAAUAAAAUGUACUUCGAAGUCGCAUUCUAAACAAGAAGUAUACUCAAAAAAUCAAAAUUCGACUAAAGUCUAAAGGUACGCUCUUCUUGCAUAUUUUAUAGAAAAAUCAUCAAUAAUGAUUUUAAAAUGUAUAAUUAACUUUCCUUUGUUAAAUUUCAAUAUGAAUAUAUGCAUGAAUUAAUAAAUUUGGGGUUAAUUAACCGUCCCUGUAAAAAUGGUUUUAAAACAAAUGAAGUAUAUGUAAGCAACUUAUAUAUGAAGUUAAUAAAUUUAUCUCAUCUUCCAAAAAUGGGUUUAAAACAAAUGAAGUAUAUGUAGGCAACUUAUAUAUGAAGUUAAUAAAUUUAUCUCAUCUUCCAAAAAUGGGUUUAAAACAACUGAAGUAUAUGUAGGCAACUUAUAUAGGUUUGAACGUAGCCAACAAUCUAUUAUGUUGUCUCUGGCUCUGAUAAAGAGUAUUAAAGCCGAACUGAACCCUGAUAAACUGAGUUUGUAUUUGCAAUUGGCUAGACUCAAACUCCGAUUACCGGACUAUUGAAUGAUUCCUGUGAUCACAAUUACGACCUGAAGGUUUGAUGAUCUCGCUGAGAUUACUUGCACAUUUAGCAAAAUAUGACGGAAGAUAUAAUAAAUCAUCUAUUAAGCGGGAUAUACGAGAUAUGUUUGACUUGGUAUUAAUUAUCUGUAUUAUGUACGAAGCUCAACCUUAUAAUUUCUUGUUUAUUUAACAUUGUAACUGAAAUUCAGAAAAAAUCUCACAUCAAACUAACAUGACACAGUAUGAAAGGCUUGAACCAGUAUGCACAAGAAAAUUAGGUUGAUGACACCAAGAAUAUGAAACAUUUAAUAAAGAACACAACAUUAAAAGAUUGCUCACAUGUAUAUAGCUACUUCCAUUAGCAACUAUAUCUUAACUACUGCUUCUUUACCACAUCUACUCUUUAUAUAAUAACAACCAUGCCAAUCAUAUAAUCUAUGUCUUGUAAAUUUCAUCAACCCAACUUUAUUUCAGAUGAAAGAUCAGCUGAGCUUUUCAGCUUUUACAAGAGAUGAAUCCAACAUGGGAAUGAUAAUGGUAGUAGCUUCCAUGAUUUUGUCAUGGCUUUUCAUCUACAGAUGGAACCAGAGAACGAAAAAAGGCCCAAAAACAUGGCCAUUGGUGGGAGCUGCCAUCGAACAACUGAUGACUUAUGAUACAAUGCAUGAUUGGCUAGUAAAAUAUCUUGAAGAGUCAAGAACUGUGGUGGUGCCGAUGCCAUUUACAACAUAUACUUACAUUGCUGAUCCUGCCAACGUCGAACAUGUGCUGAAGACAAAUUUUGCUAAUUACCCGAAGGUGAAAGUAUCGACUCCUUUUUAUUACUUAGUCUAGAGUUUUUUUCUAUGAGAAACUCAUGAAAAGACUUUGUUUAUUUUAUAGGGUGAUGUAUACCACUCAUACAUGGAAGUAUUGCUUGGAGAUGGUAUAUUUAAUGUAGAUGGAGAGCUUUGGAGGAAACAGAGGAAGACAGCAAGCUUUGAAUUUGCUUCUAAGAACUUGAGAGAUUUCAGCACACUAGUUUUCAGAGAAUAUAGCCUCAAACUCUCUGAUAUUCUGAGUCAAGCAUGUUUUCAGAAUCAAGAAGUAGACUUGCAGGUGACUCCUGAGAAACCCUCAGAUUAUGUAUCCAUGACUAAGUUAAAAUUUUGUUUUGACAGGUGUUAAAGAUUUCCUCUUUUGUAGGAAUUAUUAAUGAGGAUGACUUUGGACUCCAUCUGCAAGGUGGGAUUUGGUGUUGAAAUUGGAACACUAGCUCCUCAUCUACCAGAAAACCGUUUUGCGCUGGCAUUUGACACUGCAAACAUAACUGUUACCCUACGAUUUAUAGAUCCUUUAUGGAAAGUGAAGAAGUUCCUCAAUGUGGGCUCAGAAGCUGUUUUAGACAAGAGCAUUAAAAUCAUAGAUGAUUUUACUUAUUCGGUUAUCCGCAGGAGAAGGGCGGAAAUAGAAGCUGAAAAGAUUAAUAAAAUGGACAAGGUAUAUGAUUUAGCUCCUGAUCAUUAUUCCUAUGCUAUUCCACCAUUUAAAUUAUAUACUUGACAACAAUUUCAGGUAAAGAACGAUAUACUGUCGAGGUUCAUUGAACUAGGAAAAGACCCUGAAAAUAACAUGACUGAGAAAAGCCUCAGAGAUGUUGUCCUGAACUUUGUUAUUGCUGGAAGAGACACCACUGCCACAACUCUGACCUGGGCAAUAUACAUGAUCAUGACACAUGAUAAAGUAGCAGAGAAGCUACACUUAGAUCUCAAAGCUUUUGAAGAAGAGCGGGCUAAAGAAGAGUGUGUGUCAUUACAAUCUUAUGAGACAAAUGACCCUGCAUCUCUCAGUCAGAGACUGAAGCAAUAUGCAGGACUCAUGAAUUAUGACUCACUAGGAAAGCUACACUACUUGCAUGCAGUGAUCACAGAAACACUUCGACUGUACCCUGCGGUCCCUCAGGUAAUUCCAAAACUCAUACAAGAGUAUUAUUGAGAUAGUGAGCCAGCAAUCUUCUUUCUGUAUUUCUAUUCUAAUUUAAAAAUUUCACACACAUUGACCGGAUGAAACAAAACUACGAGUAUCAGGAUCCAAAGGGUAUCUUAGAGGAUGAUAUAUUGCCUGAUGGAACCAAAGUAAAAGCAGGAGGAAUGGUGACUUACGUGCCAUAUUCCAUGGGUAGAAUGGAGUACAACUGGGGUCCUGAUGCAGCUUCAUUUAAACCUGAGAGAUGGCUCAAAGAUGGGAUUUUCCAAAGUGCAUCUCCAUUCAAGUUCACUGCAUUCCAGGUAAAUAUAUGAAGCAAUAAGAAUAUUAAAGUUUGUAUUUAUAUUCGUGAUCAUAAAUCCAUAAUAAUAUAACAGUGGACUACAAUAAUAUAUGCUGGUAAUAUAUUACCUGACCUGGUUACAUAUUUUUCGAUAUGCAGGCUGGUCCGAGGAUUUGCCUAGGAAAGGACUCCGCAUAUCUCCAAAUGAAGAUGGCAGUGGCGAUUUUGUGUAGAUUUUUCAAAUUUGAAUU